GAUAAGGUGGCUGAGAAUUAAGGCUAUAAAUUGUAAAUUUAUAUAGGGUAAUAACCCCUUAUCA
Molecule: transfer RNA, 64 nt
Filed under: Molipteryx lunata
Lineage: Eukaryota; Metazoa; Arthropoda; Insecta; Hemiptera; Coreidae
Description: tRNA-Tyr
Source: RNAcentral